RNAcentral lists this transfer RNA (76 nucleotides) under Haloplasma contractile. It matches the Rfam family "tRNA". From Rfam's summary of the family: Transfer RNA (tRNA) molecules are approximately 80 nucleotides in length. Their secondary structure includes four short double-helical elements and three loops (D, anti-codon, and T loops). Further hydrogen bonds mediate the characteristic L-shaped molecular structure. tRNAs have two regions of fundamental functional importance: the anti-codon, which is responsible for specific mRNA codon recognition, and the 3' end, to which the tRNAs corresponding amino acid is attached (by aminoacyl-tRNA synthetases). tRNAs cope with the degeneracy of the genetic code in two manners: having more than one tRNA (with a specific anti-codon) for a particular amino acid; and 'wobble' base-pairing, i.e. permitting non-standard base-pairing at the 3rd anti-codon position. The record is from RNAcentral. RNAcentral also lists the same sequence under 1 other name. Lineage: Bacteria; Bacillati; Mycoplasmatota; Mollicutes; Haloplasmatales; Haloplasmataceae.
GGGGCCUUAGCUCAGAUGGGAGAGCGCCUGCCUUGCACGCAGGAGGUCACCGGUUCGAUCCCGGUAGGCUCCACCA